GACGGAAGGUGCAAGCGUUGUUCGGAUUUACUGGGCGUAAAGGGUGCGUAGGCGGCCAUCCAAGCGGGGAGUGAAAGCCCGGGGUUCAACUCCGGAAGGUCUUUCCGUACUAGAUGGCUCGAGUCUGGGAGAGGUGAGUGGAAUUCCUGGUGGAGCGGUGAAAUGCGUAGAUAUCAGGAGGAACACCGGUGGCGAAGGCGGCUCACUGGAACAUGACUGACGCUGAGGCACGAAAGCGUGGGGAGCAAACAGG
RNAcentral lists this ribosomal RNA (253 nucleotides) under uncultured bacterium. Its description in RNAcentral is "partial 16S ribosomal RNA". It matches the Rfam family "Bacterial small subunit ribosomal RNA", at positions 524 to 776 of the family's 1533-position model. The record is from RNAcentral.